UACAAUGGGCGGUACAAAGGGUCGCGAACCCGCGAGGGGGAGCCAAUCCCAAAAAGCCGCUCUCAGUUCGGAUUGCAGGCUGCAACUCGCCUGCAUGAAGCCGGAAUCGCUAGUAAUCGCGGAUCAGCAUGCCGCGGUGAAUACGUUCCCGGGCCUU
Molecule: ribosomal RNA, 157 nt
Filed under: uncultured Anoxybacillus sp.
Lineage: Bacteria; Bacillati; Bacillota; Bacilli; Caryophanales; Anoxybacillaceae
Description: partial 16S ribosomal RNA
Rfam family: Bacterial small subunit ribosomal RNA
Source: RNAcentral